UACGGAGGAUGCGAGCGUUAUCCGGGUUUAUUGGGUUUAAAGGGUGCGUAGGCGGGAUGCCAAGUCAGCGGUAAAAAUGCGGUGCUCAACGCCGUCGAGCCGUUGAAACUGGCGUUCUUGAGUGGGCGAGAAGUAUGCGGAAUGCGUGGUGUAGCGGUGAAAUGCAUAGAUAUCACGCAGAACUCCGAUUGCGAAGGCGGCAUACCGGCGCCCUGCUGACGCUGAGGCACGAAAGCGUGGGUAUCGAACAGG
Molecule: ribosomal RNA, 252 nt
Filed under: uncultured bacterium
Lineage: Bacteria
Description: partial 16S ribosomal RNA
Rfam family: Bacterial small subunit ribosomal RNA
Source: RNAcentral